CAGUCGCCGCGGUAAUACGUAGGGUGCAAGCGUUAAUCGGAAUUACUGGGCGUAAAGCGUGCGCAGGCGGUUAUAUAAGUCAGAUGUGAAAUCCCCGGGCUCAACCUGGGAACUGCAUUUGAGACUGUAUGGCUAGAGUGUGUCAGAGGGGGGUAGAACUCCACGUGUAGCAGUGAAAUGCGUAGAUAUGUGGAGGAAUACCGAUGGCGAAGGCGGCCCCCUGGGAUAACACUGACGCUCAUGCACGAAAGCGUGGGGAGCAAACAGGAUUAGAUACCCCCGUAGUCCCUGUCUCUUAUAC
RNAcentral lists this ribosomal RNA (301 nucleotides) under uncultured bacterium. Its description in RNAcentral is "partial 16S ribosomal RNA". It matches the Rfam family "Bacterial small subunit ribosomal RNA", at positions 509 to 807 of the family's 1533-position model. The record is from RNAcentral.